Molecule: ribosomal RNA, 377 nt
Filed under: uncultured bacterium
Lineage: Bacteria
Description: bacterial SSU rRNA
Rfam family: Bacterial small subunit ribosomal RNA
Source: RNAcentral
UAAUACGGAGGGGGCGAGUGUUGUUCGGAAUUACUGGGCGUAAAGGGCGCGCAGGCGGCCUGGCAAGUCGAGUGUGAAAUCCCUUGGCUUAACUGAGGAAUGGCGCUCGAAACUACCUCGCUGGAGGGCGGGAGAGGGAAGUGGAACUCUCGGUGUAGGGGUGAAAUCUGUAGAUAUCGAGAGGAACACCGGUGGCGAAGGCGGCUUCCUGGCCCGUACCUGACGCUGAGGCGCGAAAGCGUGGGGAGCAAACAGGAUUAGAUACCCCGGUAGUCCUAGCCGUAAACGAUGGACACUAGGUGUUGGUGGUAUCAACCCCGCCAGUGCCGAAGCUAACGCAUUAAGUGUCCCGCCUGGGGAGUACGGCCGCAAGGCUA